Myotis lucifugus (little brown bat) is the source of this 313-nucleotide unclassified non-coding RNA. Its record names the gene 7SK. It matches the Rfam family "7SK RNA". Rfam says of the family: 7SK was discovered as an abundant small nuclear RNA in the mid-70s but a possible function has only recently been suggested. Two independent studies have found that 7SK RNA binds the CDK9/cyclin T complex (known as elongation factor P-TEFb). The record is from Ensembl. NCBI's taxonomy places the organism in Eukaryota, Metazoa, Chordata, Mammalia, Chiroptera, Vespertilionidae.
GGAUGUGAGGGCGAUCUGGCUGCGACAUCUGUCACCCCAUUGAUCGCCAGGGUUGAUUCGGCUGAUCUGGCUGGCUAAGCGGGUGUCCCCCUCCUCCCUCACUGAUCCAUGUGUGUCCCUCCCGAAGCUGCGCGCUCGGUUGAAGAGGACGACCUCCCCCCCCCCCCCAGGAGAGGACCGGUCUUCGGUCAAGGGUAUACGAGUAGCUGCGCUCCCCUGCUAGAACCUCCAAACAAGCUCUCAAAAAUACAACUAAAAGACAAAACAGACAUCAUCCAGAACCACAGUAAAGCUGGUUGAGUGAAAAUUCUAC